UACGUAGGGGGCGAGCGUUAAUCGGAAUUACUGGGCGUAAAGCGUGCGCAGGCGGUUUGUUAAGACAGAUGUGAAAUCCCCGGGCUUAACCUGGGAACUGCAUUUGUGACUGGCAAGCUAGAGUAUGGCAGAGGGGGGUAGAAUUCCACGUGUAGCAGUGAAAUGCGUAGAGAUGUGGAGGAAUACCGAUGGCGAAGGCAGCCCCCUGGGCCAAUACUGACGCUCAUGCACGAAAGCGUGGGGAGCAAACAGG
This 253-nucleotide ribosomal RNA is filed under the name uncultured bacterium. RNAcentral's name for it is "partial 16S ribosomal RNA". It matches the Rfam family "Bacterial small subunit ribosomal RNA", at positions 524 to 776 of the family's 1533-position model. The record is from RNAcentral.